Molecule: long non-coding RNA, 483 nt
Organism: Solanum lycopersicum (tomato)
Lineage: Eukaryota; Viridiplantae; Streptophyta; Magnoliopsida; Solanales; Solanaceae
Source: RefSeq, a predicted model, not a curated record
UCGUCCCAAGUAAUAAAACAAAGGAAAUCAAAUAGAAAAAAAAAAAGCAAAGCAAAAUCUAUCAACAAAAAAUAUUAAAAACAUUAGCAUUCUUGAAAAAAAUGGAGGCAAAUAAGCUUGUAUCAGUAUUUUUAAUGUGCAUGAUUGUAUUAUCAGUUGUUCACGUUUCCAAGGCUGUAACUUUCGAUAGCUGCAACGAAAAUUGUCAAAAGGAUUGCACUUCCAAUGGCCAUGGCUCCACUUAUUGUGCAUUGAGAUGUGAAACCGAUUGCGGCUAUAAGGCGCUGAAAGGUGAAUUUGAGAGCCUCACGUCUUGAGCUGGACCAAGAAUGUAGGGUAUCACCCUAAAAGGAGAUAGGGGACAAAGAAGAAUAAAAUCGUGGAAUUUAUUUUUUAAUUAAAUCAUUCAUCAAUUUCAUUUUCCACUACCAUUGUAUAAUGCUCAGAAUUAAAUAAAAACAAAUUGAUUUUUGUAUAUUUAAA